This 320-nucleotide ribosomal RNA is filed under the name uncultured Bacillus sp. RNAcentral's name for it is "bacterial SSU rRNA". It matches the Rfam family "Bacterial small subunit ribosomal RNA", at positions 1061 to 1382 of the family's 1533-position model. Lineage: Bacteria; Bacillati; Bacillota; Bacilli; Caryophanales; Bacillaceae. The record is from RNAcentral.
CGUGUCGUGAGAUGUUAGGUUAAGUCCCGCAACGAGCGCAACCCUUGAUCUUAGUUGCCAGCAUUCAGUUGGGCACUCUAAGGUGACUGCCGGUGGCAAACCGGAGGAAGGUGGGGAUGACGUCAAAUCAUCAUGCCCCUUAUGACCUGGGCUACACACGUGCUACAAUGGACAAUACAAAGGGUUGCAAGACCGCGAGGUGGAGCUAAUCCCAUAAAAUUGUUCUCAGUUCGGAUUGCAGGCUGCAACUCGCCUGCAUGAAGCCGGAAUCGCUAGCAAUCGCGGAUCAGCAUGCCGCGGUGAAUACGUUCCCGGGUCUU